Molecule: long non-coding RNA, 2534 nt
Filed under: Lupinus angustifolius (narrow-leaved blue lupine)
Lineage: Eukaryota; Viridiplantae; Streptophyta; Magnoliopsida; Fabales; Fabaceae
Description: long non-coding RNA (LANG_LNC000646)
Source: RNAcentral
UUCAUUCUAAUUUUUUUAGGAAAAUCGAAUCAUAUGGAAAUAUUAUAAACAGAGUAAGUUUCAUAUAUAAAAAAACAUGUAACUAAAACUGAAUCAAGUGCAAUUUUGGAUUUUCUGUCUCUCUUUCGAAUUCCCCUUUCUCUUCGGUCACGCUUCUCAUCUCAGGCUUCAAUGGCGAAGAUCGAAGAGUUGGACGAAUCCGCUGCCAAAUUGAGGCCGAAGAAGAAUCACCAGCCAAGUAGAUUCUUCGUCUUCGUUGAUUACAUUUUCCUCUUCCUCUUCAUCGUAUUCCUCUCUUUCAUCGUUUUCAAGAUUCUCGGCGUUUGAUUCCUCAAAUUAUACAAACACUUUUUGUUCUCAACAAGGUAUCAACAUCAUUCAUGUUCACUUCUUUUUUGUUUUAUUAUUAUUGUUAAAUUAAUAAUUGCACCAUAAAAUUGUUUUUAUGAUAGUAACGAGAGGGAAUGUGUUGACCUUUCUUUACUUUUGAUUUUUGCAUCAUAAAUGGAAAAGAAUUGAAUGACUUUUUGAUGUUGGCUUAUAUUUUGAUGAAAAGUUAUUGUAAUUUAUUCAUCCGAUGUCAAUGGUGACAUGAUUUACAUAUUUAUAAAAACAUAUUAUCUCAUAAUUUGGUCCAGGUAACCGAUCCCAUCUGAUAGGAAAAAACAUAUUAUCUCACUAGCAGAUAAAUUAUUUCCAGAAUUUUAACCCGUGACCUCAUGGUCACAAAGCAGAAACAUUAGAAUCACACAGAUUUGCAGAUAUUCAAACAAAGCAGAUGAGAUGACUUAUGAUGUUGAUAACCUGCCUUAUGUAACACAAUACCAGAAUAGCAUAAAAUCAAAUAUGCAAACUGAUAACCAAACAGAAAUUAGUAGAAACAAGUAGUUUUGAUCCACCCUACCCUCUUCAAGCUAAAACUGAGUACUUUUCUUCCAACCUACCCUCUUGCUCACAAACCACUCAAGGACUUAAACAACAGCUCUCACAAGCCAAAAAACAACAGCCACAUAGGGUCACUUUCCACAAGAUUAUGAAAUUGCUCUUUUUAAUGUAUAUUCACUCAAUACAGCAUAAGAGAGAUGAAAAGCGCACAAAGCCCUUCAAAAUUUGAAGAACUUUCAUGUCCAAUAUGUUUGAGUAGCCGCAAAUGUUCUCUUUUGUAGAUAUUUAAAAAUAUGAGAGGGGUUUUUAAUUGGUGGGUCCAAAAAGUACAGAAAGCAGAUUCCUUUCCAUUUCAAGAAUAAAGAGUGAAGUUUUGUUGAAACUUCCUAGGUGAUUUCUAUCCAUUUUGAGGAAAUAUUUAAUUUGUGUUAUGAAUGUUGGGGGUCAUUUUGGAACAAUCUAGAAACUUCCAAUGUGCAUUUUCCUUUUUCCACUUCCAACGUUUUGAUCAUAAGCACACUCUGGUUUGACCUUCAAUGAGCUUUUCUAGUUGUCAUAGGAUUGGCUUUUAUGCUUCUUGAUAUUCCUUUUUUCAUGAGACGGUCCAAUUUCACAUUCUUGAUUUUCAUUAACACAGUACUUGUAGAUGGAUUUCUCCUUUCUCGUGUUUGGCUGAAGACCUCUCCAUUCUCUGGCUCAAACUUGUUCUGUUCAAUGGAACAUUCAACUUCGUAGCUUGAGAACUUCAUUCAUUCUUUGGGAAAUCUGCAUAUUAUCCUUUGGACUAGAACUAAGUGUAAAUGUGCAAGUACAAUGUUAAGAAUAGUAAAAUGUUUAGAAGCAUCACUUAAAGGAUGCCAAGUUUGGAAACCUUGGGCUUACAAUUAAUGCUACACAGUCACACAUAUAUCACCUCACAUUUACAGUUUUCAUUAUCUGAUUACCGUUGGACAUGUUUUAUGCAUAUGCUCCAAUUUUGCCACCUCACUUCGCCAUGAGGUGACAUUUACUUUUGGACUUACUGAUCUAGCAUUAUCCCAUGAGCCCGUGAGCCCAUGACCAAAUAGAUGAAGAUUGUGAUAAAAAUGCAAGUAUUAAAUCCCUAUGUUUAGAAAGAUGGUGCUAAAGAGUAAAGUCAGAAAAGUUUUGUCGAUACUUUUUUAGUACAUUUUAGGUUUGUGGAAGACUCUGUUAUUACUCGAGUUCAUCAUAGGAGAUUGCAUGUAGGUAUGUAUGCUGUACUUCUAUUUUAUCUAUGUUUUGAAAACAAAUUUAUGUGAAGUUUACUAGCUCCAUACAAAAGUCAAUUUUCUCUCUUCUCAAACACUUCUCUCCACUUACUGUUACCAUUUAUUUUAACUUAACUUUCAUUUUUCUACAUUGUGGCAGGGCUCUCAUCUGACAUAGCUAAGCUUCCUUGAAUGAUCUAAUUCGCAGCUCGAAGGUAGUGGCAAUUGGGAGGUGUUAGUUUUGACCAGUUCUUAUGAUGUAAUACUUGAAUAUAAUCUUUCUCUGUGCUGAGAAACUUGUGCCCUCGAAUUCCAUAUUUUUCACUAUUCAUUUCCCAGCAUCAAUUGUCUUUCAUAUAUUUCUUGUGUCACAUUUGAUCUUUUCUACUUUUAUUACUUUCCUUUUACUUUACGCAAGAC